UCUCCUCCAAAAUUCUUCUUUCCCAUGCCCGCAAUGCCGUCUUGCCGGACUGGAUUGCUUCCGCCGCCGGUCAAAUCCUACGCAAUAGAGCCUCCGUUAUUCCCUGGCUCUAUCUUCUACAAAUCCAACGUCUUCAAAAUAAUGAGAUGAUUCAGAUAUGCAAGCAAGAUCCAAUUACAGGAGUUUAAACGCAUGGAUUACUUCGUGCAGUUGGCUGGAGUUUGUUGAAGUUUUUCACUCCUCUUUAAGCGUUGAAGGGAGCUGAAUGUGAAGCCAUUGCAAUUUUGUAAAGGACUUUCCUGUAUUUCGAGAGGGAAUGAAAGGGAGGGCUACUGAGGAAUUGGAUCGUGUGAUGGUAGGGCACUGUUUAGUUGCCGCAGUCUGUCAACGUCUUCUUUCACCUUUAUGUCAGACUCAAUCGUUUCGGCCGACAGAGGACCCUCCUGCGUGGAAUGGAGCCCGCCAGGCUCGGCAAUGAGCCUUCUUGAUCGCGCAUAUACCCCUCUCCAAGG
Molecule: long non-coding RNA, 512 nt
Organism: Diospyros lotus (date-plum)
Lineage: Eukaryota; Viridiplantae; Streptophyta; Magnoliopsida; Ericales; Ebenaceae
Exons: 3
Source: RefSeq, a predicted model, not a curated record